GCGACUUGGGAGACCGAGUGGGAUAUGCGCAGCCGAUACCCUCAUCUUUUUGGUAGUUUAGGUAUGUUCUCUAUGCUCGUUUGAGGACGAACGAAUGUUUAAGUGUAGGAGGAUGUGAUGAUCCGGCCGGUCGUCUUUGGUAUUUAUGCCUUGUUCCCCCCUUAACUGCUUUCCCUAAGUUCAUUUCUUCUAUUUUGGGUUGCCGAGAUGUUCGGUAAUAGAAUUUGGAGAGUUUUGGGACAUUUAGUACCUAAAUGAGAGCUUAAGUGUUGGAAAACGGCCCGUAAUUAGAACAAUGUGAAGAAGACAUCAGAAUGAAAAUUCAAUGGUUCCAUUAGCUCUGUUUGGUGAUUUUGUGGUUGGGAGUGUGUUCAAAAGGUAUUUUGGAUGUCCGUAGCUCAUUUAGGCAAGAAAUGCCGAAAGUUAGAAUUUUGAAGUUUCAGGUCCGAUAGUGAAUUUGUGACCCGAGGGUCGGAACGGGAUUCUGGAAGUUGCUGUAGGACCUUCAUGUCAUUUGGGACGUACGUGCAAAAUUUCAGGUCAAUCAAACUUAGUUUAGUUAGGGUUUUGAUCGAAAGCGAGUCUGGUUGAGUUUUGGAGUUCUUAGGUUCAAAUCAUUGGUUAAUUCGAGUUUUCGGCGUUGUUUUAGGUGGUUUAAGGAUUGGUACAAGUAUUAAUAAUGUUGUGGGAUAUGUCCGUAGGUUUGGUUGAGGUCCCAGGGGCCUCUGGUGUGUUUCGGAUGCUCGACGGGUUUGUUUUGGAAGUUAGAAUGGAAUUUUUGCAGUAGACUUCUGUUGUUUCAGCUUCUGCGGCUUGGGAACCGCAAAAGAGGCUUGGCAGUCGCUGGAGCGGAAAGGAGUUAUAGGCCAGGAAUCGCAGAAGCGGUAGGCAUUCCGCAGAAGCGGGAUCGCUUCUGCGAUGUAGGGGUCCGCAGAAGCGAAAAUGGUCAUCUUAAGUGGGAGCCGCAGAAGCGGCAUUUUGACCGCAGACGAGGGACUGCAAAAGCGGUAUCUGGACCACAAAAGCGGAACAAACAGUGAUGUUAAGGGUUUUAUCCGAGGCUUUAUUUCAAAGUUUGAAAAAUCAAGUUUGAUCUCGGGCAAAGGCAAUUUUGAGAGGGUUUUGAAGAGGAGAUUAGUGGAUAGCGUUUCUAUGAUCCGUGUUAGUUAUAUUCCAUCGAUUUGUGGUUAAAUCCAUCUUUCAAAUUCGAAUAUAGGAUAAAAAUUGGAUAAUUUGGGUAAAAUUACUUUUGGCUAAACUAUUGAGUUUUGAAGGGGAAUUUGACCUCCGAUCUGGGAGAUUUUUAUAUGGUUAGACUCGUGAGAGUAUGAGGCUUUUGAAAAUGUGAAAAUUAUUCGAUUAUGAGACGUUGGCUUGAGGGGAAUUUUCGUCCUUUUACCUAUUUUUGCGCCUUAUCUUUAAUGUUAUCAGUGGAAUUAGUUACUCACGAUGUUAUUUACAAUAUGUAAUUGGUUUGAAUAGAUUUGGGCCACUUGGAGUCGGAUACUCGUGGAAAAGGCAUCGUUUCUUAGAGAUUUUAUACCGGUUCGAGGUAAGUGGCUUGUCUAACUUUGUGUGGGGGACCUUUUCCCUUAGGACAUCUUGACUGUUGUUUAGAAGUCCUUGUGCGCGAGGUGACGAGCGUGUACUUGUGCCAAUUGUUGUAAAUUCACCUUACUUGACUUAUUUAGACUGUGUUCUUCAUGUAUUUAACUGUUAUAAAUGCAAUUUCACUUGUUUUAGCUUAGGGAAAGCAUGUUAGUUAGCUUACUUGUUCUUUUU
RNAcentral lists this long non-coding RNA (1782 nucleotides) under Nicotiana benthamiana. RNAcentral's name for it is "long non-coding RNA (NBEN_LNC019307)". The record is from RNAcentral. Lineage: Eukaryota; Viridiplantae; Streptophyta; Magnoliopsida; Solanales; Solanaceae.